This 643-nucleotide unclassified non-coding RNA is filed under the name Hevea brasiliensis (rubber tree). Lineage: Eukaryota; Viridiplantae; Streptophyta; Magnoliopsida; Malpighiales; Euphorbiaceae. The record is from RNAcentral.
CCUCCAUCAUUUCAUUACAACAAUUUGGGUUAUUCACAAAUUUAUGGUUGCAUCUGCCAAUUAUGAUGAUAUUGAUCGAGCACUGAAGGAAUAUAAUAUAUUGCUUAUCAUAUUGGGUUCUCCAGCAUGUUACACCUGGAAGAGCACACUGGAGAAGUAUAUUCAGGAAUUCUUUGGCAUCAUAUUUGAGAAUAAUUAACGGUCUCCAUCAUUUCAUUACAACAAUUUCAUAGAUAUGACACGAACAAAAGGUGAAAAUCAACAUUUCAUACAGCAAAAGCAUGGGCUCAGAAACCAGACAGGAAUUUUUAUUAGCACUGGCCAUAAGCCAUAUCGGUUGGUGAGUCAGAAGCACCCACCCAGCAGAAUGGUCUCUAUUUCUCUCUCAGAGACUGGUGUACGCUUAGGCUGAAGAGAAGCUUUGCCUCCUACAGCAGUGUUAGAGGGUGGUGCCGGCACAUCUGACCUUGCCAUUGCAUGAGAUUUGGAAAUGGAACCAGAAGAUGAAGAUUUCGGGUGUCUUUGUGGGAAUUUAAUCCGUGGAAUUCUCCUCAUAAUAUGCUCUCCGGCCAUUUUAUCGCUUCCAAGUUCCAACUUUUCCUUCCCCGUUUCUGAUUCCGCCAGAAGCAACUUGAAAGAUAUC